UCUAAAUAAAGAUAUUAUAACGAGUUGUAUUUUAUUUCCACUCAGCUUAGCAAAAGUAAAACUUAGUUGGUUAAAAAACAAAACGUGUAUAUUUGAAAUAAAAACGGCACCGACUGUAGCGUCCAGCUCAAGUACUGACGAACCAAAAACAAAAGACGACCACGAAGGGACUCGAACCCUCAAUCUUCUGAUCCGAAGUCAGACGCCUUAUCCAUUAGGCCACGCGGUCUGAAUGCUGCGAAAACCGCGGAGCAAAACCUUUUUGUAAACACAUAAAUACGAUAUUCACGCAUAUGCCUGAGGUUUUGUACUUUUUUUAUCUGAACUUAACGGUCACAAACCCACAGAUUUAUGCGAUCUAACGAGCGGAUUGAGGACCGGAUCCCAAACCCAACAGGAUCAUCAGAUUGUUUCAGGCCCCUCCCCUUCCUGCAGCGGCGCCACGUUCCCACUCGGCUCUGUGGACACAUUCAGGAAUUCCUGAGGGCCGGAGAUCCGAAUUCCUCACAAAUGUCCUCAGUUCAGCUGGAUCUGCAGGAGCAGACUCGGUCCUUCCUGCUCCUCAGGACGGUUCUCCCAGCUGCUCUGGAGCCGUGAGAAUCCUGGAAUGUGGAAAACAUCCGGAUCGGAUCGUCUCUUCCUCACAGAGGAACCUAACCUACAAACUCAAAGUGUUUUUCCCGCCUCACAUUUCUGAGGAACAUCUGGAUGAUUCCAGACUUUCAGAAAGAGAAAAUCUUAAAUGAAUGAACAUAAAUCUGACUGAUCCGACUAAACGAAUGACCCUCUCGUGGUUGAAGCUCCGCCUUCGUGGUCCUCUGGGAUUUCCAUCAGACGGCGUUCCAGAGGCUCACGCCAAAGUCUGAGUAUCUGAAAACAUCCCGUUCCUCCAGAGACUUCAGCUGUGAGGCUACAAACAGGAAGCAGAUCGUCUGCUUGAAGCAGAGCUCAGAUCUCAGACGUGGGUCAGGACGACCCGCAGAACCCUUCCAACACGAGGAAAUCCUGCUGGUUUCCUCUGACCUCCUGAUGGUCCUCGGCUACUCUUUUCAGGUUCAUCCCAGGAACCAGAAGAUUCAAAUUUUAAAGGCUGAAACGUCAUUUAUAGCUGCUUUUAUUUUGAAAAUAUCCUUUGUUUUAGAAAUGCAGGGACAUUUCAGAGGCUGAAUGGUGGCUCCACAAACCCGACUGUGAUGCGGUUCUGGUCCUGGUUCUAGAGUUCAUUGAUGCUGUUAUUGUAGUAGAUCUGCUUCCUGUCCUUCAGAUCAUUUCCAGUUCAUGCCCGCCAAAAUAAAACACUUCUGAUGAUGAA
Molecule: long non-coding RNA, 1312 nt
Organism: Oryzias melastigma (Indian medaka)
Lineage: Eukaryota; Metazoa; Chordata; Actinopteri; Beloniformes; Adrianichthyidae
Exons: 2
Source: RefSeq, a predicted model, not a curated record